Molecule: ribosomal RNA, 464 nt
Filed under: uncultured Klebsiella sp.
Lineage: Bacteria; Pseudomonadati; Pseudomonadota; Gammaproteobacteria; Enterobacterales; Enterobacteriaceae
Description: bacterial SSU rRNA
Rfam family: Bacterial small subunit ribosomal RNA
Source: RNAcentral
CCUACGGGGGGCUGCAGUGGGGAAUAUUGCACAAUGGGCGCAAGCCUGAUGCAGCCAUGCCGCGUGUGUGAAGAAGGCCUUCGGGUUGUAAAGCACUUUCAGCGGGGAGGAAGGCGGUGAGGUUAAUAACCUCAUCGAUUGACGUUACCCGCAGAAGAAGCACCGGCUAACUCCGUGCCAGCAGCCGCGGUAAUACGGAGGGUGCAAGCGUUAAUCGGAAUUACUGGGCGUAAAGCGCACGCAGGCGGUCUGUCAAGUCGGAUGUGAAAUCCCCGGGCUCAACCUGGGAACUGCAUUCGAAACUGGCAGGCUAGAGUCUGGUAGAGGGGGGUAGAAUUCCAGGUGUAGCGGUGAAAUGCGUAGAGAUCUGGAGGAAUACCGGUGGCGAAGGCGGCCCCCUGGACAAAGACUGACGCUCAGGUGCGAAAGCGUGGGGAGCAAACAGGAUUAGAUACCCGUGUGUC